UGGGGAAUAUUGCACAAUGGGCGAAAGCCUGAUGCAGCGACGCCGCGUGAGGGAUGACGGCCUUCGGGUUGUAAACCUCUUUCAGUUGGGACGAAGCGCAAGUGACGGUACCUGCAGAAGAAGCACCGGCUAACUACGUGCCAGCAGCCGCGGUAAUACGUAGGGUGCGAGCGUUGUCCGGAAUUACUGGGCGUAAAGAGCUCGUAGGCGGUUUGUCACGUCGUCUGUGAAAUCCUAGGGCUUAACCCUGGACGUGCAGGCGAUACGGGCUGACUUGAGUACUACAGGGGAGACUGGAAUUUCUGGUGUAGCGGUGGAAUGCACAGAUAUCAGGAAGAACACCGAUGGCGAAGGCAGGUCUCUGGGUAGUAACUGACGCUGAGGAGCGAAAGCAUGGGUAGCGAACAGG
This 409-nucleotide ribosomal RNA is filed under the name bacterium. RNAcentral describes it as "partial 16S ribosomal RNA". It matches the Rfam family "Bacterial small subunit ribosomal RNA", at positions 355 to 776 of the family's 1533-position model. The record is from RNAcentral.